This 433-nucleotide ribosomal RNA is filed under the name uncultured bacterium. Its description in RNAcentral is "partial 16S ribosomal RNA". It matches the Rfam family "Bacterial small subunit ribosomal RNA", at positions 29 to 507 of the family's 1533-position model. The record is from RNAcentral.
AACGAACGCUGGCGGCAUGCCUAACACAUGCAAGUCGAACGAGACCUUCGGGUCUAGUGGCGCACGGGUGCGUAAUGCGUGGAAACCUGCCCUUAGGUUCGGAAUAACUCCCCGAAAGGGGUGCUAAUACCGGAUAAUGUCUUCGGACCAAAGAUUUAUCGCCUUUGGAUGGGCCCGCGUUGGAUUAGCUAGUUGGUAGGGUAAAAGCCUACCAAGGCGACGAUCCAUAGCUGGUCUGAGAGGAUGAUCAGCCACACUGGGACUGAGACACGGCCCAGACUCCUACGGGAGGCAGCAGUGGGGAAUAUUGGACAAUGGGCGAAAGCCUGAUCCAGCAAUGCCGCGUGAGUGAUGAAGGCCUUAGGGUUGUAAAGCUCUUUUACCCGGGAUGAUAAUGACAGUACCGGGAGAAUAAGCUCCGGCUAACUCCGUG